This is a non-coding RNA of Paramuricea clavata, 2349 nucleotides long. The record is from the annotation of a GenBank genome assembly. Lineage: Eukaryota; Metazoa; Cnidaria; Anthozoa; Malacalcyonacea; Plexauridae.
CGAUUUUCAACGAACGUUUGGGGAAAAGUUGUUGAAAUACAUUGCGAUUUUGGCUCCGUUUAUCUCGUUUUUUCGAAGGUAUGUUUUUAUAUUUGUAUUAUUUAAGACCCUAAUUAAACUAUUUUUGAUUUGUUUGGUACAGGAAUUGCUUUUUACUUAUGCUAAUUACGUAUUGUAAUGAUGCUUGAUUCGGGUCAGUGGACACGGCAAUAAAAUGACCUUGAUAUAAUGCAGAAGCAAACUCACUUUUUUUUUAGGAAAAUAAAAACAAAACACGUCAUCGAAUUCGGGAUGAUUUUUUCUUUCUACUGUUACUUUAAAACAUGAGUUUGCUCCACUAAACCGACAAGUAAUCGCGGUUUGAAAAUGGGGUACUUUCGCUAUAUUCUAUCGCCGAUGGCGGGAAUAGACCUCCUGAUAAUCAUCAUGGCGCGAAGGAAACUAUUGUACUAAAUCACUAUUUUCCAUGAUAAUUUUGAAACAUAUGCAUAUAUGUUCCUACAUAUUUUAAGUUUAAUGUAAUUUCUAAGGUUAGAUAUGCUUUAUAUGUUUACUGUACCUGCACUGACUGUAUUUUUUUUCAUUUUAUUAUAGAAUUCGGCUAUUUUGGAGUAAACUGGAAAUGACAGUGGGCCAUUCCAUUUAAUGUACACCCCCCCCCCUGUGGACGAAGUCAAUAAAAUUUGAACCCCUAAGAAAAAAAGAUCAAAGUGCCGACACAAACACCCCUCCAGAAAUUACAGUGCGUCUACUGUAAGUGGGGCCACUUAGAGAACACUAACCAAUCACAUUGCAGAACAGAAAGUGAAAAAAUCAACAAACGGCGCAUUAGCCAAUCAGCAUUUGGGCAAAAACAAUUCGAACAAAUAAACGAAUGUCAAACGGUAAAAAUAGACAUGUAAAAGUAAACAUUGCAGUUAAUGGCUUCCUGAAUCUUUCUUUUGAUUGGACGAGCUUUAGUUUGAUUAGAUUUUUCUUUCUGUUCUGCAAUGCGAUUGGUUAGUGUUCUCUAAGUGGCCCCACUUACAGUAGACGCACUGUAAGAAAUUUUUGCCUUACCCCUCGGAAAAAACGCAAAGAUCAAAGGAUGCCGAUGCACACAACCCCUCAGAAACGGCUUUUUCAACCCCCCUCAGAAAUUUUCGUCCACAGGGGGGGGGGUGUAUAUUAAAUGGAAUGGCCCAGUUAAUGAUACUGCUAUAAAACAGGUAUAUACUUCAGUGAAGGUGAUACCCCAGGGAAACCUAAUAAUAAGAGACACAGAAUUUCUCGUUUGAAGAAUUCAACAUCAAGCCGAACUUUGCUUUAGAGUCCUGGAACAUCACCAAUGCCAAGGUGUAAAAGUACAAAGGUUUUUACAAACAUAAUUCAUAAAAUACAGUACGACUACACAAAAACAUAAUUGUAUAUUUUUAAUAAGACAAUAUGUUAAAUAUUAUGCUAAAAGUUAUUAUCAUAGUAACAGUAACAUUGUAUUUUAAUGCUUUUUUGCCUGGGAGAAUUUCUGUCCAUAGGCAUAUGAGGCUGGGCGUUGCAACCCCUCCAGUCAGUGUUUAGUAUUUCUGCAAGUCUGUAUAGGAGAUGUGUUCCUUCUAUUUUAUACCUCUUGUUCAUCUAUCAAUAAACUCAUGACAAUGUCGGGCAAUUUCUAUCCACCCGUACGCCAAUAUUAUUUUUCAAUGCUGGGAGUGGCAUUCCAGAAAACCUAUAGUACACAAAUUUCCUGGAGAAGCAUGCCCACAAUCCUGGUAAAAAUCCACGAGUUUCUUUGUUGUCUAAUUGUGCUGGUAGGCAGCCUGGCACUGACACUGGCACUGCCCCUCUCACUUUUGCUGUUUGUUUUGUAGUUUCCUAUCAGACAGAUUAAACUGACUCCUCCAAAGAAAUUCCCAGUAAAACUUCAUAAAUGGACAUAUUUUGAAGAAGAUAAAGCAUUCAUUGAAUUCAUAUCUGUUGCAGACAAUCAUGCAAAUGAUUGAUUGAAGAGGCUUACCAAUUAUGUAAUAUCUCUAGAGCAAAAGCAUCACCUUUCAUAUACUUCAUCAUAUACCAUUCAUGUGUACUGGUGAAAUCAAUGUGAUGCAACAUUUUAAAAACUUCUCUUUACUUUUGCACAUAAAAUUUUAUUUUUAAAAACAUUCUAAUUAUCUUUAAGUACAGUAAUAUUAUGUUAAUAUUUUUUUGAUUUAAAAUAAAUCAAUUUUAUCAACAUCAAUUGUGUAGUGUGUGAUCUUUUUAUUAAAUGUGAUGAGCAAGGGAACACUACACUGAAAACCAUACAUAAUGUGAACCUCCGAAUAUAGCCCCCCCCCCCCCAUGUAUAAGCCCACCACAUGUACUAACACUCAC